AGAGUUAAACAGUACGUGAAAUUGUUGAAAGGGAAACGAUUGAAGUCAGUCGUACCGUCGGGAAAUCAGCUCCUCGGGUGGUGGAAUCGCGGGUGUAAGGGAGUUUCGGCCUCUUCGUUCGCGAUGUCUUUCUCCUUUGGGUGUACUUUCUCGUGUGGUAGGUUAACGUCGAUUUCGGUCGCCAUAAAAUGAUCGGAGGAAUGUAGCUUCAAUUUUUUUUGAAGUGUUAUAGCCUUUGGUAGAUGUGGUGAUCGGGAUCGAGGAUUGCAACGAAUACCCCUUUAGGGCUAUCCGUCUGAUCUCUGAUUGUCGCCCGGGUGCCGAAAGCGUGCUUACGGUCAUUCAGGUUUGACGGUCAAAAGGUUAGAACGUGAUUAAAUUCGUUAAGGACGUUGACGUAAUGGCUUUAAACGACC
This 416-nucleotide ribosomal RNA is filed under the name Dominikia disticha. Its description in RNAcentral is "partial large subunit ribosomal RNA". Lineage: Eukaryota; Fungi; Glomeromycota; Glomeromycetes; Glomerales; Glomeraceae. The record is from RNAcentral.